This 253-nucleotide ribosomal RNA is filed under the name uncultured bacterium. RNAcentral's name for it is "partial 16S ribosomal RNA". It matches the Rfam family "Bacterial small subunit ribosomal RNA", at positions 524 to 776 of the family's 1533-position model. The record is from RNAcentral.
UACGAAGGGGGCUAGCGUUGUUCGGAAUCACUGGGCGUAAAGCGCGUGUAGGCGGAUUGUUAAGUCGGGGGUGAAAUCCCGAGGCUCAACCUCGGAACUGCCUUCGAUACUGGCGAUCUUGAGUCCGGGAGAGGUGAGUGGAACUCCUAGUGUAGAGGUGAAAUUCGUAGAUAUUGGGAAGAACACCGGUGGCGAAGGCGGCGACCUGGUCUGAUACUGACGCUGAGGCGCGACAGCGUGGGGAGCAAACAGG